This 71-nucleotide transfer RNA is filed under the name Gongylonema pulchrum. It matches the Rfam family "tRNA". From Rfam's summary of the family: Transfer RNA (tRNA) molecules are approximately 80 nucleotides in length. Their secondary structure includes four short double-helical elements and three loops (D, anti-codon, and T loops). Further hydrogen bonds mediate the characteristic L-shaped molecular structure. tRNAs have two regions of fundamental functional importance: the anti-codon, which is responsible for specific mRNA codon recognition, and the 3' end, to which the tRNAs corresponding amino acid is attached (by aminoacyl-tRNA synthetases). tRNAs cope with the degeneracy of the genetic code in two manners: having more than one tRNA (with a specific anti-codon) for a particular amino acid; and 'wobble' base-pairing, i.e. permitting non-standard base-pairing at the 3rd anti-codon position. The record is from Rfam by way of RNAcentral. Lineage: Eukaryota; Metazoa; Nematoda; Chromadorea; Rhabditida; Gongylonematidae.
GGCCCGGUGGUGUAGUGGUAACACAUUGCGUUCGGACGUGAAGAGGAAUGGUUCGAUCCCCUCCCGGUCCA